Molecule: ribosomal RNA, 1382 nt
Filed under: uncultured bacterium
Lineage: Bacteria
Description: 16S ribosomal RNA
Rfam family: Bacterial small subunit ribosomal RNA
Source: RNAcentral
UUCGCCCUUAGAGUUCGUUCCUGGCUCAGGACGAACGCUGGCGGCGUGCUUAACACAUGCAAGUCGAGCGGGAUUCGAGAGCUUGCUCUCAAAUCUAGCGGCGGACGGGUGAGUAACACGUGGGUAAUCUGCCCUCAAGUGGGGAAUAACACAAAGAAAUUUGUGCUAAUACCGCAUAAUGUAUGCUGGUCGCAUGGCCGGCAUAAAAAAGAUUUAUUGCUUGAGGAUGAGCCCGCGGCCCAUUAGCUAGUUGGUGAGGUAAAGGCCCACCAAGGCAACGAUGGGUAGCCGACCUGAGAGGGUGAUCGGCCACAUUGGAACUGAGAUACGGUCCAGACUCCUACGGGAGGCAGCAGUGGGGAAUAUUGCACAAUGGGGGAAACCCUGAUGCAGCAACGCCGCGUGAGCGACGAAGGCCUUCGGGUCGUAAAGCUCUGUCUUCGCUGACGAAUAAAUGACGGUAAGCGAGGAGGAAGCCACGGCUAACUACGUGCCAGCAGCCGCGGUAAUACGUAGGUGGCAAGCGUUGUCCGGAAUUAUUGGGCGUAAAGGGUGCGUAGGCGGUUUUUUAAGUGGGAUGUGAAAUACCUAGGCUUAACUUAGGAAUGGCAUUCCAAACUGGAAGACUAGAGUGCAGGAGAGGAAAGUGGAAUUCCCAGUGUAGCGGUGAAAUGCGUAGAGAUUGGGAGGAACACCAGUGGCGAAGGCGACUUUCUGGACUGUAACUGACGCUGAGGCACGAAAGCGUGGGGAGCAAACAGGAUUAGAUACCCUGGUAGUCCACGCUGUAAACGAUGAGUACUAGGUGUGGGGGGCGAAGCCCUCUGUGCCGCAGUUAACACAAUAAGUACUCCGCCUGGGAAGUACGAUCGCAAGACUGAAACUCAAAGGAAUUGACGGGACCCCGCACAAGUAGCGGAGCAUGUGGUUUAAUUCGAAGCAACGCGAAGAACCUUACCAGGUCUUGACAUCCUCUGACUAUGCUAGAGAUAGCGUUUUCCUUUCGGGGACAGAGAGACAGGUGGUGCAUGGUUGUCGUCAGCUCGUGUCGUGAGAUGUUGGGUUAAGUCCCGCAACGAGCGCAACCCUUGUGUUUAGUUGCCAGCGGUAAGGCCGGGCACUCUAAACAGACUGCCGUAGAUAAUACGGAGGAAGGUGGGGAUGACGUCAAAUCAUCAUGCCCCUUAUGACCUGGGCUACACACGUGCUACAAUGGGAUGUACAGAGGGUAGCGAAGUAGUGAUACGAAGCCAAUCUCAAAAAACAUUUCUCAGUUCGGAUUGCAGGCUGCAACUCGCCUGCAUGAAGUCGGAGUUACUAGUAAUCGCAAAUCAGAAUGUUGCGGUGAAUGCGAGGCCGGGGUUUGCACUCACCGCCCGUCA